AGAUAUUUGACCCAGAUUAAAUAUUAAUACCCUAAAUUUUGUAUGAAAAUGGUCGGCGUAUUCACGAAACCAAACCGACUCAAAUGUGACUAUAUUUAAACUUGGCUGGUUAUUUUUUAUGCGAGUUCAAGUUCUAAUUUGAGCUAUACAAUUAUAAUUCAUUUCAAACUCAAAUCUAUUCAAAUUUAGCUAGUUAAAAUAAGAUUUAUAUAUGUGAUAUUGAUAAUCGUAGAAUACGGGCUUUCAUGUUUAUAGAAUUCUACACACCUCUUUAUAUAUAAAAAAAUUUCCGUGCAACUUUCAACUCACUACUAUAAAUUCGAAAUUAUAUUCAUAAUCUUCGACUAUCUUGAUUUCGCUAUAUUCGACAUCGUUAACGAACAACAUCUUCAAUCCAGGGGGGAACACAAGAAUACAAGUAAUGAUUGAUGAACAUGUGUUAUCCUCUCCGUCCUAAAAAUUAACAGUCGUUUCAUGCAAACGACACCGUUUUAUCUACUGCAUCACCGGCGGCGGAGCAUAAUUAGCAUGCCUAGCUGGGCGUGAAAUGCUUCUCGCUGCUCCAAUUUUCAGCUGUAGCAAAUCUUGUUCUUGAUCAUGCUUCAUAUCUGCACCCCAAAACCAACCAGCUGCAUAAUUUUAAGAUGGUUCAAUAACUGAAGUGGGCUGGACUAAGGUCCCUAUAUCCACCGCUAAAAGAUGGCUUUCGGUUCAAGAAGAACACGGAGAAGAGACGAAUUACCUGGAAGAAAAUAUACGACCCUUUGAGCCAUGGAGGUCGGCCCGGAGGAAAAGGCCAUCAUCAUCAACAAGAGCAAGCUAAUGGUCAUGCAAAUCUGAACAUUGCCUCUAUGUAUACUGCUAUCCUUCAUUUUUUGCUUCUCUCUUUGAUCUUUCGUGGCCUCCUUUAUUGUUUAUUAUAUAGAAGAAACGUUAUCGUUUUGUAGCUAUAUUAGGUUACCAAGAUGCUUGUUUGUAUGUGCUUUAUUGACGGAUUCCUCUGCAAAUUGAGUCCACA
This 1018-nucleotide long non-coding RNA is filed under the name Linum usitatissimum (flax). RNAcentral describes it as "long non-coding RNA (LUSI_LNC008225)". The record is from RNAcentral. Lineage: Eukaryota; Viridiplantae; Streptophyta; Magnoliopsida; Malpighiales; Linaceae.